UAAACUUAGCCAUUAAAAGGGGCCCUAUAGUUUUUUCCUUCUUAAGGAACAGUAAAGAUCGAAUGGAAGACAAAAACAAAGUGGGUGUUUACAGUAUCCCGGUAAAGGAUAAGCGGUCUGGCCAAAAUAAGGAAUACAUUCGAGUUACAACAUGUACCUUAACGGAAAGGCUAAAUGAACAUAAAAAUGAUUUGAUCAAAGGAAAUUUAACCACUGCUUUAGCACAGGAAUGUUACGCAUCUGAUAUCGAUGUAUUAUGGGACAGUGCCAAAAUUGUUAAGAGAGUUAAUGGUAUGAAACAAGGACUGUUAAGAGAAUCUUUCGA
RNAcentral lists this long non-coding RNA (325 nucleotides) under Androctonus crassicauda. Lineage: Eukaryota; Metazoa; Arthropoda; Arachnida; Scorpiones; Buthidae. The record is from RNAcentral.